AAGGCUAGUAGGAGGUGUUCCCCCUGCGCCAUCUUGCCGGUGCUUACUCCUCCUCGUUCCUGGCCACCGAAUCAAUGGGCAAGGAGGAGGAGCGCGAGUGAAGACUGACAGCCGAGCGAUGCUCUCGGAGCUCAGCGUUUCCAGGUUAGCUCAGAGCUAAGGAGCUAGGCUACAUGCUACCCGACGCUGCUAACCGGUUAGCGCUGUGCUGUAGCUGAUCCGGCUGGUCGCGAUCUCUACGAACUCACUAGAGAGGGAAGUGGAGAGACUUGAUGUGGACGGUUAUCAACAGCUCUGUGGGAGAUUAUCACCUUGAACAUUACAGAUGAGGUACAAACCCAGAGCCCAGUAAAUCGGUUCCGACUGAAAUCUGUGGUGCUGAACACAGAAUAAACUAUGAAGCACUGCAGCACCGGAUCUGUCCUUAGCAGCAACAUGGUGGAGAUCGGCAGCUUCAGGGUGG
Platichthys flesus (European flounder) is the source of this 463-nucleotide long non-coding RNA. RefSeq lists it as uncharacterized. NCBI's taxonomy places the organism in Eukaryota, Metazoa, Chordata, Actinopteri, Pleuronectiformes, Pleuronectidae. The record is from RefSeq and is a predicted model, not a curated record. The transcript is spliced from 4 exons.